This 51-nucleotide small nucleolar RNA is filed under the name Trypanosoma cruzi. Its description in RNAcentral is "C/D small nucleolar RNA (snoRNA)". Lineage: Eukaryota; Euglenozoa; Kinetoplastea; Trypanosomatida; Trypanosomatidae. The record is from RNAcentral.
CCUCAGCCAGGCGGCGCUUCCUCAGCCAGGCGACGUGCCUCUGCUUCCUCA